Long non-coding RNA from Amphiprion ocellaris (clown anemonefish), 3625 nucleotides. RefSeq lists it as uncharacterized. NCBI's taxonomy places the organism in Eukaryota, Metazoa, Chordata, Actinopteri, Pomacentridae. The transcript has 3 exons. The record is from RefSeq and is a predicted model, not a curated record.
CAAUGGUGUCAAAUGUAGGAAGCCUGUCAUAAAAGAAGGAUGGGCCUGGGGCGUGGAAAACCACCAGGACCAAACAGUAUAAAAGCCAGUGCAUCAGAUGGGGUCUUCAGACAUGCCCCGGGGCAUCUCUCAGUGUGUUUGGCCUGUACUUUGAGGAAUAAACACAUCUUCUUUGAAUCUGAAGACUGACUCCUAGACUCUUCACUGCCUGCAUUGGUGAGACUUAGGCAGCUAUUAUUUUUGAAUCUGCAAACUCUUUAGAAAAUCAGAACUUAGAGCAAGAACUGAAGAAGCCCCAAGUUGUGAAGACAUUUUUCUGCAACAGUAUCUGUGUCAAAAGUGGAAAAGAGGAUGGAACUGUUGUACAUACAGCUGAUAACAGUAUACUUCAGAUUUUACAGAAGCAAAAUCAAGUAUCUGAACUGCUACUACAACAACAGCGGUCAAGUCAACUUCCACCAAGAGAUACCGGUCUUUGAAGGAGACCCUUUAAAAUUCAAGAUGUUCAUGCAAGCCUUUAAACACUGUGUUGAAGAUAACUGUGCAGCUAAAGGAGACUGCAUGUACUAUCUGGAAAGGUACACCAAAGGGCAUCCAAGAGAGCUUGUGCAAAGUUGUUUACACAUGAGUGCAGACAGAGGCUUUGAAACAGCUAAAGCCCUCCAACAGGAGCAUUUUGGUAAUGAAAAUUUCUGUUUCAUCUGAGCACAGAACUUUCCUUCAGAAGGUCUUUUUUUUUGUCCAUGUGAUUAGCAGCAAACAUUAGUUAAGCUUUACCUUGCCGUUUCUGGAGAAAGUGCUUCCUUCUUGAUCGGCAGCCUCUCAGCUCAUUGCACCUCUAUGGGCACAGACACCUGGGUUCCAGCAGAAUUUAUUGAAUAAUUCAUUGAAGACCUGCUUUUUAGUGAUUCCUGAUUGACUCUUGACCAUCGUGACCAAUUUUCUCUCAGCAGCAGGUGACACAACUAUACCAUGCACUUCAUGCUUACAAACAAUGGUUUGCACAGAUGAUUUUGGAAUCAGUAGCUGCUUAAAAUGCCUCCAAAUGACUUUGUUUGCUUUUUCAGAUAUUUGCUGAGCUCCUCAGACUUUACCAUUGUAGUGUUUGUGGAUGAGUCUGAUGAGUGUAUCAAAUGGACACUAAUUAAAUUGCAUCAGAUGAGUCACCAGUUGUAAUGAAUCAUAAUCACUCAUAAGAAGAUUAUAAGUCACUUAGCAAAUUUAAUUAACAUAGCUUUCUACAUUACCAAAAGUUAAACUUUAAGUUGCUGCAUGAUCAUUUUUGACCAAGGAGAUUGUCUUAUUUCCAGAAAACAAUAAAUAAAUAUAUGAAAGAACUAGAGUGCAUGACUUUUUUGUGUGACAAAGACUCGUGUUUCAGUGAUUCCAUCAUAGAAAAUUUAAAUUGUUGGAGUAACUGGAAACUCACGAUCACCUUAUGUGGCCUUUAAAAAUGUGUGAAAACGUUUGUUCACGUCUGUAAGUAAACAUUUCUGCAAACAGAAUUUGGAGGUUUGUCAUGAGUUAGAAAGAGAAUGCUAUCAUUAUGUACAUAAUGGUUUGUAAACACGCAUACACUUCUCUGAAACAUUCCAUGGGAAAUCCUUCCAAGUGCAUGUGGGUCAAUAUAUAAUUGAGGGACUUUUGAAGUCCAUGGAAUAUAUCUUGCAUACAUUUUUAUUAAAAGUAAAAAAAGUAAUGUUUUUAUGUUCAUUAUGGACAUGUUUUUACAAAUUCCACAACUAUUUAUUAUGGAAAAGAUCACUUUUUAAUAAUAAAUGACUGGAUAUCACUAAAAUGUCAACUAAAUAACCAUCCAAAUUUAACAACAGCCACCUUCUAAUUAGCCAAAACAAUAAUAAAAUGAGUUCAUUCAAAAAUUGUUUUGAUUGUGUUCUUUUUAUUAAGUUGAGAUAGCACUAGCACUUUGAGAUUUUAUAUGUAAAGUGCAUUAUAAAUUAAAGGUAUUAUUAUUAUUAUUAGAUAAUCAUGACAGAUAUUUCUUUUUUUGGCAACAUAUCAAAUUUUAUAUAGAAAAUAAAUUGUAUCUGUGUCUGAGAAAUCACUUUCAACCACUGUUCCCUCUAAACUGCGCGCGUGCGCAAUUGCGCACUGCUGACACGCUCUUCGCGCACAGAAAAUCUGCGCUGCGCACAAAAAAAAAAAAUCCAACCUAAAUUGUAAAUAAAAUAAACACGUAACAAUUCAUUCUGUGCUAUUUUUCAGUGUGAGUCAGUGAGUGACCGGUGACUGGCUGCUGCAGCCAAUGAUGCGAUUCACAUACGUAUUUACCACAGACUGUAUAUAAUGGUAUUUAUGCAGCUAAUCAACGUCAUUGACAGGCGUCCUUAUGUGCAGCUACGUUGUUCUCAUAGAUAUGAAUGAGUAGAUAGGACACGCCCCUUUGAGCUGCGUACUACUGCGAGGCUAAGCUAGUGGGGGCAAAGUUUCAGUGCAUUCUGUUGAUGUAGACGGCGUGAAAACGGAAACAAGUAUGCCGGCUCACUGUGCUGCAUACAGUUACACACUGUGUCGUACGAUUGAGACAAGGAAACUUGGAAUGACUUUUCAUAGGUUUCCCAGAGACUAUGGGUUGAGGAGGAAUUGGAAGUUUGUCGGCUUAGACCUGGUGUCAUUCCAUCAGUGUUAAACUUCCCGGCUCAUCUUGGAAGAGUACGUGCCAGAAAGACCAUGACCAAGCAGCCUUGAGAUCUUAGUCUCCCCGAGACCAAAGAACUACAGACUCUUCACAACCUGCUCAAACUCUUGGUACAGGACCUCACCACACGGGUCAAGAAGGUUUCCAUCUCAUUUCUACUCUGAAGCUCACCUUCUCCUGCUCAAACUGCUGAUAAAUGUUUCUGCUGCUCUAAAGUCUGGUCUCCAGAACUUCCUAAAAACUCUCAAAGUCUCUUCUGCUGCAGGUUGCUUUGUAGAACUGUUCCAGAAAACCUCACUAAACCACAUGGAGGGGCCUCAAGAUAGUCGUCCAAAUGAAACCAUACAAAAACCAAACUAGCACAACCCAAACGCUAAAGUCUCCUGCAGCCUACCAGAGAACCUCUGAGAACAGAGAAUCAGGACAGGAACUCUUACCUUCUGGACAACCAACGUUGGUUCACAAACAAGAAUACAGAAUGUAUCUGACCAAAAACCUCUGAAGACUCACUACAGCCAAGAUAAAGACACAACUCAGCUGUACCAAAUCCACUAAUCACUGCACACAUUAGCACCAUGUGCUAACUGUGGCUAAAGAACCACCUUUACCAAGACAACUAUCCAGUACAAAGCCCUAAAACACACCAAGAAACACAUUAAAGACGAUUUUACUGCUGGAAGCUGCAAGCCAACGCCUAAAGAACAGACUAAAGCAAUGGAGCCAAACCCUGUUCACUGGUGAAGAGAAACAGAGGAAAUGUUUGACUGAGCCACAUGAAGCAGGAAGACACUGAGCUGCUCAGGUGUUCCUGAUAACACCAAGCUGCUCAGGUGUUCCUGAUAACACCAAGCAGCCACCUGGACAGCCAAUAGGAACACAGCUUACUGGAAGUCCAGAGGGCUGGCUUAGUGAAGGAAAUUUAGUUUAAAGUUGAGGCAGAAAGUUAACAAAGAAAGUUGAAAACCA